RNAcentral lists this unclassified non-coding RNA (347 nucleotides) under soil metagenome. RNAcentral describes it as "partial contains 5.8S ribosomal RNA, internal transcribed spacer 2, and large subunit ribosomal RNA". The stretch from base 1 to 120 matches the Rfam family "5.8S ribosomal RNA", at positions 35 to 154 of the family's 154-position model. The record is from RNAcentral.
GAUGAAGAACGAAGCGAAAUGCGAUAAGUAAUGUGAAUUGCAGAAUUCAGUGAAUCAUCGAGUCUUUGAACGCACAUUGCGCCCCCUGGUAUUCCGGGGGGCAUGCCUGUCCGAGCGUCAUUGCUGCCCUCAAGCACGGCUUGUGUGUUGGGCCGUCGUCCCCCUCCUAGGGGACGGGCCCGAAAGGCAGCGGCGGCACCGCGUCCGGUCCUCGAGCGUAUGGGGCUUCGUCACCCGCUCCGUAGGCCCGGCCGGCGCUUGCCGACGACCAUCAAUCUCUUUCUCCAGGUUGACCUCGGAUCAGGCAGGGAUACCCGCUGAACUUAAGCAUAUCAAUAAGCGGAGGA